AUCGUUCAGUCCCAUAAGGGACCGCAAGUAAGCCGACACGGAACGGA
This 47-nucleotide non-coding RNA is filed under the name marine metagenome. The record is from Rfam by way of RNAcentral.